RNAcentral lists this long non-coding RNA (7058 nucleotides) under Gossypium barbadense (sea-island cotton). Its description in RNAcentral is "long non-coding RNA (GBAR_LNC015856)". Lineage: Eukaryota; Viridiplantae; Streptophyta; Magnoliopsida; Malvales; Malvaceae. The record is from RNAcentral.
UCAAUUCCCAUAUUAUUAUCAAUAGGGUCAUCCCACCAAAACAGUCCCUUCAUUUUUCUCUCUUCCUUUUCCUUUUGGAUCUCCUUGCUUCUCUUUUUUUCUUCCUCAAGUUUCUCCAAUGUCUCUCGGCUCUCCUCGUUGAACUCUUCGAGACAUGGAGCAAUGUCGUCACCAGACAUCAUCAAACCAUCAGCAUGGUUAGGGUUUUUGCUAAGGUAACGCUCCAAUAUCAUGUCGAUAUCGGGGUGACCAAAGCAAAACGGCUUUCCUUUGGGAGAGAACACGAUGAUGCCGAUGUUGCAACCGCAUAAAAUGCAAAGCUCGCUCGCUUUCUUGAACAAACCAUUGCGGCGCUUGGAGAAAGUCACUUGGCGGCUGCUUUCGUUUUCGAGUUUCUUUAUCUGAAUCUUUUGGCGACCCCUCGUUGCCUUAGUGGUGGUGUUGCUGCUUCUGGUUUGAUUUAGAGAUGCCAUUGUUAUAUCCUACGUAUGUCUUAGAAAAAAAAUGGUAUUCUUCUGAAAGGAAGAAAAUGUAUAAGAUUAUAUCCAAAUUAAAGCAAUUAUAUAUAUGGUAAGUUGAAUUUUUAGGAGAAUCGGUCCAAAUUUUCAACUUAGUAUUAAAUAAUAUCCUAAAAUUAUUAUCUCAAUAUUCUCUUUUCAAACUAUAUAAGUAAGGUUAAUAAUAUCAAUUAGUAUAAUGAUCAUAUUUUGUUCACUUUUUCUUCUUUAAAUGUUACUCAAAAAUAUCAAAUUAAUUUUUACUUGGGGCGGGUGCUGUGUGUUUAGCAGUCAAAUGAAUUGGUUCUUUCUUUUUUUUUCUCAGCAACCAAACAAGCUAAGAAAUCUGAAAGGAAAGUGAAAAAGAUAUAACCUUGAACUGAAACUAGUGUUUGGCUUUUGAGUCAAAGCAGUCAAAUGAAAUUACUCAAAUUCACCCUGGGGCACGUCAUAUAACACCCAUUACUCUGUUUUGUACCUUCAAGCUAGAUCUCGCAUGUGUUUUUCCCUUGGGGUUAGCCGCUUAGCUCAUUUAAGCAGGGUUUAAUGGUUAACAAAGACCUCCAUGGCAGCAACAGAGAAGCUUUCAUCUCUUUUCCCUUUGUUGUCGCUCAUUUGCUUCAUCUCUUUCUUUCUUCUUCUCUCUAUUUCCAGAAAAGCCUCCAUUUCCUCCUCCACAACUCAUCCCCAAUUCCUCCGUUUUAAACCCAUCGACGCCAAUCUCACCACCCGAUCAGACCCAUCUGCAACCGGCGAUUCUUCAUGCGGUUACUCCGAUGGGUCAUGGGUUUACGACCCAAAUGCGGGAUUUGAUCGAUACGACAGUAGCUGCAAGGAGAUAUUCAAAGGAUGGAAUUGCAUUUUGAACAACAAAUCCAACGGUAGAGACAUCAUUAAGUGGCGAUGGAAGCCUCGUAACUGUGAUCUCCCACCGUUCGAUCCCCUCCAGUUUCUUCCCACUUACAGAGAUACCAACAUUGGUACUUACCCAUCUCUCUGUCUCAAAGUUAGUUAAUUUAAAGCAAAUUAGGCCUUAAUCAAUAUUCAACAGUGCAGGGUUUAUUGGUGAUUCCUUAAACAGAAACAUGUUUGUAUCUUUGUUUUGUACUUUGAAACGUGUGUCCAAUGAUGUGAAGAAAUGGCGUCCUGCUGGAGCUGAUCGUGGCUUUACUUUCCUUCACUAUAAUCUCACCAUUGCUUAUCAUAGAACUAAUCUUUUGGCACGCUAUGGUAGGUAAGCUGCUUUGAAUCAUUUAGAUAAAUUCCAAUUUAGUUUCUUUUUGUUUGUAUUUCGUGGUAGGAACUGUAUUGUUCUUGAUUGUGUUUAAUGCAGAUGAUCAGCUAAUGGAAAUGGUGGUAAGUUAGAAGCUCUUGGAUAUAAAGAAGGUUAUAGAGUUGAUGUUGAUGUUCCAGAGAGCACAUGGGAAAAGGCUCCAAGCUUCCAUGAUAUACUAAUCUUUAACACAGGACACUGGUUAGCCUUUUUCCCACUUCCAUUAAAAUGUUGUAGAUCUUUUGGUGCCAAUAAUAUUAUGGUACCAUACCUUUUUGCACUAUUUUGUUGUUUUUAGCAUUUGGAUCCGGUUUUCAUGGUAGAUGAAAAUGACCAGAAGUAGAUUUUAAUGACAUGAAAACAAACUGUCAAAGUUGGACGCAUUUUCAAAUUAUGUGCAAAUAUCAAACUUUUUGGCUCAAGCUGUGUAACUUGUGGUUGUGUUAUAAUAUUAUGUUGGUUGCUUCUUUUGUUGCCAAUAGUAUGGUAGAAUUCCUUUAUGUUCUUGUUUGUUGUUCCUAAGUUGUUUUCUAGCAUUUAUAUCCUUUUUUCAUGUGUUGAACGAAAAUGACCAAAAGAUGAUUUUAAUGGUGGUUUUUGAGUUAUAUGCAAUCAUCAAAGCUUUUUGACUGAAGCUAUGUAAGUUGAGGUUGUUUUAUAAUAUUAUGUUGAUUGCUUGUUGAGGUAUUUUGGUGCCAAUAGUAUGGUAGCAUACCUUUAUGUUAUUGUUUGUUGUUCCUAAAUUGUUUUUUAGCAUUUCAAUCCCAUUUUCAUGUUGAAUGAGAACAACCAAAAGUUUAUUUUAAUGUGGUUUUUGAGUUAUACGCAAUCAUCAAAGCUUUUUGGCUCAAGCUGUGGGACUUGUGGUUGUUUGUUGAGAAAUUCUUGGUGCCAAUAGUAUGGUAGCACACCUUUAUGUUCUUGUUUGUUGUUCCCAAGUUGGUUUUUAGCAUUUCAGUCCUAUUUUCAUGUAAAAUGAAAAUAACCAAAAGUGCAUCUCAACGACAUGACAAAUUGCCAUGGUUGGAUGUGGUUUUCAAGUUAUAUGCAAUCAUCAAAGCUUGUUUGGCUCAAGCUGUGUAACUUGAGGUUGUCUUAUAAUAUUAUGUCGGUCGUUUCUUGAGAUCCUUUGGUGCCAAUAGCAUGGUAGCAUGCAUGCCUUUAUGUUCUUGUUUGUUGUUCCUAAGUUGUUUUUUACAAUUUUGAUCCUAUUUCAUGUUCAAUGAAAACGACCAAAAGUUUGUUUUAAUGUGGUUUUUGAGUUAUAAGCAAUCACCAAAGCUUUUUGGCUCAAGCUGUGUAACUUGUGGUUGUUUUAUAAUAUUAUGUUGAUUGCUAGUUGAGGUCUUUUGGUGGCAAUGGUAUGUUUUUUAGCAUUUCGAUCCUAUUUUCAUGUUGAAUGAAAACGACCAGAAGUGUUGGAUGUGUUUUUCGAGUUAUAUGCCCUUAUCAAAUCUUUUUGGCUCAAGCUGUGUAAUUUCUGGUUGUUUUGUAAUAUUAUGUUGGUUGUUUGUUGAGAUCUUUUGGUGCCAAUAGCCUGGUAGCAUGCAUGCCUCUAUGUUCUUAUUUUUUGUUCCUAAGUUGUUUUCUAGCAUUUUGAUCCUAUUUCCAUGUUGAAUGAAUUGGCCAAAAGUGGAUUUUAAUGACAUGACAAAUUGCCGUUGUUGGAUGUGGUUUUCGAGCUAUAUGCAACCAUCAAAGCUUUUUGUCUCAAGCUAUCUAACUUGUGUUAUAUAUUUAAGUUGGUCCCUGGCCACAAUUUCUUGUUAUUCUAGUCCAUAUAUUUCCAUUGCUGUAAUCAUAGAUUUCCUGACAUAGAUUAACCAUUUUGAUUGUUCUUUAAUAGGUGGUGGGCUCCUUCGAAAUUUGACCCAGUUAAGUCACCCUUGCUUUUCUUUGAAAAGGGUCUACCUGUAAUCCCUCCCAUACCUCCUGAUCUUGGCUUGGAUAAGGUUUUAAAUCACGUGGUAUGUUAUUGCAAAUGGUGUUUGCUACUAUUGUUUUUACAACGCUCAGCUUACCUUCUUAGUUCUUACUGAUCAUCAAUUGGCAGAUACGGUUUGUGGAGAAAACCAUGCGACCGGAUGCAAUUAAAUUGUUUCGCACGCAAUCACCAAGGCAUUUUGAAGGUGGUGAUUGGGACCAAGGUGGUUCUUGUCAGCGGUUACAGCCUUUGUUACCCGAACAAGUUAGUAUCUUUCAUUUGGCCAAAAAAUUGUUCAUCUGUUGGUUUGUGUCCACUCCGGACCAAGGCUGAAUUGAUUAUAUCCGUUUUCAGGUGGAAAAUCUCUUCUCGUUGAAAAACAACGGGACAAAUGUGGAGACAAGGCUUGUGAAUCAGCACAUAUACAACGCCCUCAAGGGGUCUAACGUCCACAUCUUAGAUAUUACCCGCAUGAGUGAGUUCAGAGCUGAUGCUCACCCUUCCACAGCCGGAGGAAAGAAACACGAUGACUGCAUGCAUUGGUGCUUGCCGGGAGUUACAGAUACAUGGAACGACCUGUUUGUAACACAUUUAAACAGUCUUAAAAUUUGAAACUGAUUGUAUUAUUACUAAACAUAUUUUUGUUCGGUACAUUUUCGGUUAGGAUCGGUUUGGAAUUCAAGUCAUUUGAGUCAUCUCGGAUUCAGGUUUGAGUCAUUAGGACUGUACAAAUGCCAAAGAACUGAUGUUUAUCUACCAAAUAGUCCCAAUCCCAAAAACAUGUGUAACCAACUCAUCGGGUUCGUUGUUAUUACAAAAAACAACCUAAAACGACAGCACCCCCAACCAAAUCCAUAUUAGACGACAAAGUUUAGGGUUGGCUGCCUCAGCUCUUUCCUUGGCUUUUUGAUAGAAAAGCCGACAAGCAUCCAUGAUUAGAAUCCGUAGCCGUAGCCAAUGCCACAAAAGCUGCUGCAUCCUCCCUGCAUGUCACGUGGUGCAACCCUACUUAUUUCCACUUCCGGUUUGGGCUGUUGCUGGUUUUUUGUGAUUGAAUAAAAGGGAUUGUUGGCAUUUGGUGAGGGAAGUGUCUUGAGCUUGAUCUUACAAUAACAUGGACAAGUAGAAGAAAGUGAGGACCUUGAAAUUUCAGGGCCGAAUGGACCCAUUGUUUUUUCUUUUUAUUUUUCCUAGUUUUGGUGGGAGAGUUUAGCUUCCAAUAUCAACUUGUGAGUUACUAACUGUCCAGGUUACUGUCUAAGUUCAUCCAAAAUUUGGAAGAGUUUGAACAAAAAUAUUAAAUUUGGAAAAUGGACUUGGGCAAAGACAAUAAUGGGUUGGGCAAUGGGAGUUGAUUGUUAAGCCAUCAUCAUAUUGAAUACAACCAACGAGUAAUACAAUGAAGACGACAAGUUGUUUCUAUGCUACACCUUUGUCGUUUACAGACCACUUCCGUCUCUUUCUCCUUUCAGAUUCGGUUUUUGUAACAAUCUUCAUGUGAGGAUUCAUAAUUUUUUUUGCUCUAAGACCAUGUCAUAGAGCUCUCAACACACCACACGUAUUGCUUGAUAUAUUUAAUUGUUACAAUGUCAAUGUGCCUUGGAAUCGUGGGUUGUCGACCAACCCCGCAACUCAUCUGGUUUAUAACUCUGACCACACAAAGUAUCGGUUCGAGCCGAAACUCAUCUCUUAAUCUAGUGGUAUUGGAUGAAUUUUUCAUAGGUUUGAAUCAUAAUUGUGAUGUGUAAUUUAGAAACUCGAGUUAAAAGUGUGUAAAUUAAUUGUAAAAUUACCUAAAAUAAUAAUAAUUUUAUCAUGAUUCAUAAUUUAUAAAAAAAAACAUAAAAUAAAAAUUGAAAACCAAGAUGAUAGUAAUCUAAUUGUUUAAGUUUACUAAGUAAGCAAAUAAUAUUUUCAUGUGCCGAUUGAGUCUUAGUUUGAUUGGUAUGGACAUUAUGUAGGGGGACGUAGCUGCACUAAAACACAUUAUUCUCCUAUUUAUGAGUUGGGGAAGGGCCAUGGGUAGUUCUAAACAUUGUGUCAAAAAAAAAAUAGAUACGAUCCGAACCUCUAAUGUGCUUGUUCAAAACAAAUAUUUUCACGGAUAAGCGUGAUUUAGAUAAUAAAAACUUUAAAAUGUUUCCAAAUAAAAUAAUUUUAUUAUUAUAUUUGAAAAAGGAAAAUACAUCAUUAAAAAUAAGGACUGAUUUUUUGUAUCAACAUAUUGACAUUAAAUCUUUUGUGCAUCUAAAGAUUUCUUAAGAAAUAUAAGAAAAAAACAAUACAAAUCAUAUAAAAUUUCUCUUAUUCAAUGCAAAAUCACUUUUAAGAUUCUCUGAAAUAUAUUAUUGAGCAAUAUUAAUACCGAAAUUAUCAACUUUAUGAUAAAAAUAUGAAUAAAUAAAUAAAAUUAUACAAAAUUACGGGUGGGUUUAGAUGGACGGUUGGGUGCGUGCAUUAGGUGCUGUACAUUUAGCUUACUUUUUGACCCAUACUAUAAUAUCUAAUCUUACAACCACCGUUAUUUUUACACUAAUCGCAGGUAAACUCACCACCCGUCUAAACCUACCCUAUACAAACAAAGAUGUAAAGCUACAAAAUAAUGCAGUUAAAGGUAUAAAAAAAAACUAGCUUCAUUUAUAUAUGAUCAUAUAUAGAUCUAUAUUGUUCAUAAAAUAAUUAAAAACUAAGCAGAUUAAGUUUAUAACGUAAAAUAAUAGCCACAGACAUACCUUCAAUGAUGAAUAGAGAAUAUUUAAUAAUCCAAGUCAUGACCAUGACCAAAAUUAAAACCUUCAACACCUAGAUUGAAAUCCCCGUACCCGCCGGUGUCUCCGACGGCAAAGCCACUGUUUUGGACGGCGAAACCGUUGCCCAAACCAUCAGGAUUAGCCACCGUCAUGGCAGUCGACAUGGCAAAAACAUCUCCCAUCAAUGUACUAGCCCUAUUAGCCACAUUAUUCCUUAACUCCUCCAAGGCUUUAGCAUAUGCUUCAAGUUCCUCAAUUCCCAUAUUAUUAUCAAUAGGGUCAUCCCACCAAAACAGUCCCUUCAUUUUUCUCUCUUCCUUUUCCUUUUGGAUCUCCUUGCUUCUCUUUUUUUCUUCCUCAAGUUUCUCCAAUGUCUCUCGGCUCUCCUCGUUGAACUCUUCGAGACAUGGAGCAAUGUCGUCACCAGACAUCAUCAAACCAUCAGCAUGGUUAGGGUUUUUGCUAAGGUAACGCUCCAAUAUCAUGUCGAUAUCGGGGUGACCAAAGCAAAACGGCUUUCCUUUGGGAGAGAACACGAUGAUGCCGAUGUUGCAACCGCAUAAAAUGCAAAGCUCGCUCGCUUUCUUGAACAAACCAUUGCGGCGCUUGGAGAA